Molecule: ribosomal RNA, 497 nt
Filed under: uncultured bacterium
Lineage: Bacteria
Description: partial 16S ribosomal RNA
Rfam family: Bacterial small subunit ribosomal RNA
Source: RNAcentral
GAUGAACGCUGGCGGCGUGCCUAAUACAUGCAAGUCGAGCGAACAGACGAGGAGCUUGCUCCUCUGACGUUAGCGGCGGACGGGUGAGUAACACGUGGAUAACCUACCUAUAAGACUGGGAUAACUUCGGGAAACCGGAGCUAAUACCGGAUGAUAUAUUGAACCGCAUGGUUCAAUAGUGAAAGACGGUUUUGCUGUCACUUAUAGAUGGAUCCGCGCCGCAUUAGCUAGUUGGUAAGGUAACGGCUUACCAAGGCAACGAUGCGUAGCCGACCUGAGAGGGUGAUCGGCCACACUGGAACUGAGACACGGUCCAGACUCCUACGGGAGGCAGCAGUAGGGAAUCUUCCGCAAUGGGCGAAAGCCUGACGGAGCAACGCCGCGUGAAUGAUGAAGGUCUUCGGAUCGUAAAACUCUGUUAUUAGGGAAGAACAAAUGUGUAAGUAACUAUGCACGUCUUGACGGUACCUAAUCAGAAAGCCACGGCUAACUACGUG